AAAGAUUAAGCCAUGCAUGUCUAAGUACAAGCCGAAGGAAGGCGAAACCGCGAAUGGCUCAUUAAAUCAGUUAUGGUUCCUUAGAGCGUUGUUUGUUACUUGGAUAACUGUGGUAAUUCUAGAGCUAAUACAUGCACUCUCACCGACCUCUACGGAGGGACGUGUGCUUUUAUUAGAUCAAGAUCAAUCGGGCCUCGGUCCGCAAUUUGUGGCGACUCUGGAUAACUUUGUGCUGAUCGCUAAGGUCUUUGCACCGGCGACAAUUCUUUCAAGUGUCUGCCUUAUCAACUGUCGAUGGUAGGUUAUGCGCCUACCAUGGUUGUAACGGGUAACGGAGAAUCAGGGUUCGAUUCCGGAGAGGGAGCCUGAGAAACGGCUACCACAUCCAAGGAAGGCAGCAGGCGCGCAAAUUACCCACUCCCGGCACGGGGANGUAGUGACGAAAAAUAACAAUACGGGACUCUAUUGAGGCCCCGUAAUUGGAAUGAGUACACUCUAAAUCCUUUAACGAGGAUCUAUUGGAGGGCAAGUCUGGUGCCAGCAGCCGCGGUAACUCCAGCUCCAAUAGCGUAUAUUAAAGUUGUUGCGGUUAAAAAGCUCGUAGUUGGAUCUCAGUCGCAGACGGGAAGUCCAUCUAUCCGGUGUGACGGCCCGGACUGGACAGGAUGCCGGCUGUCCCUUGGUCCUCUUCAUUGGGUGCCUUGGGGUGGCCUGUGCGUUUACUUUGAAAAAAUUAGAGUGCUUAAAGCAGGCGUGGCGCCUGAAUAACAGUGCAUGGAAUAAUGGAAUAGGAACUCUUGCCUAUUGUGUUGGUUUCUGGAUAAGAGUUAAUGAUUGAGAGGGACAGACGGGGGCAUUCGUAUUGCAGCGCUAGAGGUGAAAUUCUUGGACCGUUGCAAGACGAACUACUGCGAAAGCAUUUGCCAAGAAUGUUUUCAUUGAUCAAGAACGAAAGUUAGAGGUUCGAAGGCGAUCAGAUACCGCCCUAGUUCUAACCAUAAACGAUGCCAACCAGCGAUCCGCCUGAGUUCCUCAAAUGACUCGGCGGGCAGCUUCCGGGAAACCAAAGUAUUUGGGUUCCGGGGGAAGUAUGGUUGCAAAGCUGAAACUUAAAGGAAUUGACGGAAGGGCACCACCAGGAGUGGAGCCUGCGGCUUAAUUUGACUCAACACGGGAAAACUUACCCGGCCCGGACACCGGAAGGAUUGACAGAUUGAGAGCUCUUUCUUGAUUCGGUGGAUGGUGGUGCAUGGCCGUUCUUAGUUGGUGGAGCGAUUUGUCUGGUUAAUUCCGAUAACGAACGAGACUCUAGCCUAUUAAAUAGACGUGUGGUCUCUUGUGCCAUGCGGUCUUCUUAGAGGGACAAGCGGCUCCUAGCCGCACGAAACAGAGCAAUAACAGGUCUGUGAUGCCCUUAGAUGUCCGGGGCCGCACGCGCGCUACACUGAAGGAAGCAGCGUGUGACUAUCCCUGUUCANAUGAACUGGGUAACCCGAUCAACCUCCUUCGUGAUUGGAAUAGGGGCUUGAAAUUGUUCCCCUUGAACGAGGAAUUCCCAGUAAGCGCGAGUCAUAAGCUCGCGUUGAUUACGUCCCUGCCCUUUGUACACACCGCCCGUCGCUACUACCGAUUGAAUGAUUUAGUGAGGUCUUCGGACUGAAACCCGAGGCGGCCUAUGGUUGCGCCGGAAUGUCAAAAANAUGACCAAACUUGAUUAUUUAGAGGAAGUAAAAGUCGUAACAAGGUU
This 1747-nucleotide ribosomal RNA is filed under the name opilioacarid SJD-2001. Its description in RNAcentral is "SSU rRNA". It matches the Rfam family "Eukaryotic small subunit ribosomal RNA". The record is from RNAcentral. Lineage: Eukaryota; Metazoa; Arthropoda; Arachnida; Opilioacarida; Opilioacaridae.